GACGAACGCUGGCGGCGUGCCUAAUACAUGCAAGUAGAACGCUGAAGAGAGGAGCUUGCUCUUCUUGGAUGAGUUGCGAACGGGUGAGUAACGCGUAGGUAACCUGCCUUGUAGCGGGGGAUAACUAUUGGAAACGAUAGCUAAUACCGCAUAACAAUGGAUGACACAUGUCAUUUAUUUGAAAGGGGCAAUUGCUCCACUACAAGAUGGACCUGCGUUGUAUUAGCUAGUAGGUGAGGUAACGGCUCACCUAGGCGACGAUACAUAGCCGACCUGAGAGGGUGAUCGGCCACACUGGGACUGAGACACGGCCCAGACUCCUACGGGAGGCAGCAGUAGGGAAUCUUCGGCAAUGGGGGCAACCCUGACCGGGCAACGCCGCGUGAGUGAAGAAGGUUUUCGGAUCGUAAAGCUCUGUUGUAAGUCAAGAACGAGUGUGAGAGUGGAAAGUUCACACUGUGACGGUAGCUUACCAGAAAAGGACGGCUAACUACGUGCCAGCAGCCGCGGUAAUACGUAGGUCCCGAGCGUUGUCCGGAUUUAUUGGGCGUAAAGCGAGCGCAGGCGGUUUGAUAAGUCUGAAGUUAAAGGCUGUGGCUCAACCAUAGUUCGCUUUGGAAACUGUCAAACUUGAGUGCAGAAGGGGAGAGUGGAAUUCCAUGUGUAGCGGUGAAAUGCGUAGAUAUAUGGAGGAACACCGGUGGCGAAAGCGGCUCUCUGGUCUGUAACUGACGCUGAGGCUCGAAAGCGUGGGGAGCGAACAGGAUUAGAUACCCUGGUAGUCCACGCCGUAAACGAUGAGUGCUAGGUGUUGGAUCCUUUCCGGGAUUCAGUGCCGCAGCUAACGCAUUAAGCACUCCGCCUGGGGAGUACGACCGCAAGGUUGAAACUCAAAGGAAUUGACGGGGGCCCGCACAAGCGGUGGAGCAUGUGGUUUAAUUCGAAGCAACGCGAAGAACCUUACCAGGUCUUGACAUCCCGAUGCUAUUUCUAGAGAUAGAAAGUUACUUCGGUACAUCGGUGACAGGUGGUGCAUGGUUGUCGUCAGCUCGUGUCGUGAGAUGUUGGGUUAAGUCCCGCAACGAGCGCAACCCCUAUUGUUAGUUGCCAUCAUUCAGUUGGGCACUCUAGCGAGACUGCCGGUAAUAAACCGGAGGAAGGUGGGGAUGACGUCAAAUCAUCAUGCCCCUUAUGACCUGGGCUACACACGUGCUACAAUGGUUGGUACAACGAGUUGCGAGUCGGUGACGGCAAGCUAAUCUCUUAAAGCCAAUCUCAGUUCGGAUUGUAGGCUGCAACUCGCCUACAUGAAGUCGGAAUCGCUAGUAAUCGCGGAUCAGCACGCCGCGGUGAAUACGUUCCCGGGCCUUGUACACACCGCCCGUCACACCACGAGAGUUUGUAACACCCGAAGUCGGUGAGGUAACCUUUUGGAGCCAGCCGCCUAAGGUGGGAUAGAUGAUUGGGGUG
Molecule: ribosomal RNA, 1470 nt
Filed under: Streptococcus salivarius
Lineage: Bacteria; Bacillati; Bacillota; Bacilli; Lactobacillales; Streptococcaceae
Description: bacterial SSU rRNA
Rfam family: Bacterial small subunit ribosomal RNA
Source: RNAcentral